Molecule: ribosomal RNA, 253 nt
Filed under: uncultured prokaryote
Description: partial 16S ribosomal RNA
Rfam family: Bacterial small subunit ribosomal RNA
Source: RNAcentral
GACGGAGGUCCCUAGCGUUGUUCGGAAUCACUGGGCUUAAAGCGCGUGUAGGCGGAGUGGCAAGUACCUUGUGAAAUCCCCGGGCUCAACCCGGGAAUUGCUCGGUAUACUGUCACUCUUGAGGCAGGUAGGGGUCACUGGAACCUUAGGUGGAGCGGUGAAAUGCGUAGAUAUCUAAGGGAACGCCUGUGGCGAAAGCGGGUGACUGGGCCUGCCCUGACGCUGAGACGCGAAAGCGUAGGGAGCAAACGGG